AUGGACUGGAGCUGGAUCAUACUCUACCUGGUGGCAGCACAUACAGGAGUCCAUUCUCAGGCUCAUCUGCAGCAGUCUGCAUUUGAACUGAAGACUCCUGGAGCUUCACUAAAAGUGACCUGCAAGGAUUUUGACUCAAAUAUCUUCCCCAUUUCCUAUAUGAGUUGGGUGAGGCAGAAGCCUGGACAUGGGCUUGAGUGGAUUGGAAACAUACUCCCAAGCAUUGGUAGAACAAACUAUGGACAGACCUUUGAGGACAGAGUCACACUGACUGCAGACACAAUGUUGAACACAGCCUACAUGGAGCUCAGAAGCCUGACAUCUGAGGACUCUGCCACCUAUUACUGUGCAAGACACAGUGUCACAACACACAUCUAG
This is a non-coding RNA of Mesocricetus auratus (golden hamster), 378 nucleotides long. NCBI's taxonomy places the organism in Eukaryota, Metazoa, Chordata, Mammalia, Rodentia, Cricetidae. The record is from the annotation of a RefSeq genome assembly.